RNAcentral lists this ribosomal RNA (402 nucleotides) under uncultured prokaryote. Its description in RNAcentral is "bacterial SSU rRNA". It matches the Rfam family "Bacterial small subunit ribosomal RNA", at positions 355 to 774 of the family's 1533-position model. The record is from RNAcentral.
UGGGGAAUAUUGGACAAUGGGCGCAAGCCUGAUCCAGCCAUGCCGCGUGGAUGAUGACGGCCCUAGGGUUGUAAAGUCCUUUCGACGGGGAAGAUAAUGACGGUACCCGUAGAAGAAGCCCCGGCUAACUUCGUGCCAGCAGCCGCGGUAAUACGAAGGGGGCUAGCGUUGCUCGGAAUCACUGGGCGUAAAGCGCACGUAGGCGGCUUUCUAAGUCAGGGGUGAAAUCCUGGAGCUCAACUCCAGAACUGCCUUUGAUACUGGAAAGCUUGAGUUCGGGAGAGGUGAGUGGAACUGCGAGUGUAGAGGUGAAAUUCGUAGAUAUUCGCAAGAACACCAGUGGCGAAGGCGGCUCACUGGCCCGAUACUGACGCUGAGGUGCGAAAGCGUGGGGAGCAAACA